This is a non-coding RNA of Caulobacterales bacterium, 106 nucleotides long. NCBI's taxonomy places the organism in Bacteria, Pseudomonadati, Pseudomonadota, Alphaproteobacteria, Caulobacterales. The record is from Rfam.
GGAGGCGGCGACGCCCCCCCCGACUUGAGAUUGGCGAAAGCCAAUCUGUCGCCUCCGCGCCUCAUUCUCGAUGAUGCCACUUGAAGGCGGCCCGCAGGGGUCGCCU